CACGUAGGCGGAUCGUUAAGUGAGGGGUGAAAUCCCGGGGCCCAACCCCGGAACUGCCUUUCAUACUGGCGGUCUCGAGUUCGAGAGAGGUGAGUGGAAUUCCGAGUGUAGAGGUGAAAUUCGUAGAUAUUCGGAGGAACACCAGUGGCGAAGGCGGCUCACUGGCUCGAUACUGACGCUGAGGUGCGAAAGCGUGGGGAGCAAACA
RNAcentral lists this ribosomal RNA (207 nucleotides) under uncultured bacterium. RNAcentral's name for it is "partial 16S ribosomal RNA". It matches the Rfam family "Bacterial small subunit ribosomal RNA", at positions 568 to 774 of the family's 1533-position model. The record is from RNAcentral.